GGCGCUAACGUGACAGCGCUUCCGGUUCGGGUGCCGGCGGUGCCGCCGCUCCCUCGGCGGGCGGAGUGUGGGGCUCGGGCACCCGGCGGCAUCGGGGCGGGCGCUGGGGCCGCGCGGCGCUGCCGCUGCUGCUCCGGGCUGCUGCCGGGGCUCCCGUGCCGCCGGCCGUGCGCGGGAGGGCGGUGCGGGGAUUUCCCCGCGCUGAGGGGAACCGGCCCCGGCGCCUCCCGAACCCGCCGCUCCGGCGCUGCCAGGGAGUUUGUGAUCAAUUAAAAAGAUGCCUUGUAUUCUCGGAGUGGUGCAUUCUACCUCUGCUGUUUUUCCUGCUAGUCUGGAUCCUCUGCUUAGAUUUUUUUCUUCAUAUUUUAGGUGCCCUGGCUGUGGUGGAUGUCCCGGUCGAGGGCAGUGAUGGCUUUCAUGAAGAAAUCUUUAAAUGAAGACGGGAUUACCCAAACCUUUCCCUUCCCUGCUGCACUAGAAGCCAGGAAUAUCCUGUUGCUUCAGUCUGAAAACGGAACAGUUUAAAAAUCACGAGGAGGUGAGCAAAGAACCUGCUGUGCCCCUGGAUUCUGCAUUUACCACUUUGCUAAAGAGAGCCUAUGAGAGAGGAAGCAAUACCCUACUGGAAGGUGGUGUUCAGACAAAAUUGGCUUCCUGGCUCCCACCUGACCAGCUUUUGUUGGGAGUAAAGCAUGUGCUGUUAUACCUGAAAUCCACAGUGGAGAACUUCAGCAGGCUUGGUAAAACUUUGGGUCCUCAGCUUGUUGAUCUCUGUGUGGACCUGCUGAGCAUCUUGUUGUGCCGGGACAAUGAAAUAAAGCUGGAGCAGCAGCAGAAGCAGGAGGAGCAUCAGGCUGAUGGGAUCUCUUCAUGGAUGAGGAGCCUCUGAUGACAGAAGUGUCUUCAAAUGACAAGACCCUGGAGGAUGCACUCACCUUGAUUUUCAGACAUCCUGCACUGGAGAGCUGGUUCCUGGCGUUGGAGCUGCGCUCUAUUCCUCAG
RNA transcript from Oenanthe melanoleuca, 1002 nucleotides. It is a transcript of the gene named nucleolar pre-ribosomal-associated protein 1-like, with no coding region annotated. The transcript has 4 exons. Lineage: Eukaryota; Metazoa; Chordata; Aves; Passeriformes; Muscicapidae. The record is from RefSeq and is a predicted model, not a curated record.